UUAAAACCAGAUGAAAGAAGAUGAAAGCAUAUUUACCCUGCAUAACCUUCACACAUCAGGAACCAGAGCUGGAACCCAGAAAUACCUUUGUACUUCGAAGUUUCAGCCCAUUUCAGAGACAAGGUGAGCAAGGAAAUACUGAGGUUUUCCAUGAUGGGGGGAUGGGGAGGCAAUAAAAGCAACCUGUGAAAGUAAUUCCUUCUAAGAUGCAAUCUACCCAGCCACUAGCUCUACACAUCUCCUUCUCCUUCACCCCAUCCCAAUUGUCAGAUAUCAGCCAGGCAAGCCCCCAUACUGACAUAUGAAGUGACAGAUGGAAGCAGGCAAUAAGGGCAUAGGAAUGAGUACUGAAAGAAAUUACAUACAGAAAACAAGCUAAUAAUGGGGCAGAUCUUAAACAUGAGCAACCCUAAACCAUAAAGUUAAUUCAUUUGGCUAGAACAAUGUUGAACAGAUGCACAUGCACAUCAGACUGAGUUGGAGAGCCUUAUUCUCUCAUCACUCAUGCCAAUGUGUAGAGGUCUUCUCCUAACAUCCAUGGAAUUAAACCUUUGAAAUUUCAGUGCAAAUAAAUGGUGAAAUAAAAAUAAUCUAAGCUAAAGUACUGGCAGCAAAUAUCCUGUGCUGCUGUAUUGGGAAAGAAAGGUGGGCUGCCAGAUUUAAUUAAAAUCUGUUUAAUUUAGCUAUAGUCAUCAUCACAGUGGCCUUCAUAAAUAAAACACAUCUAAUCUACCAUAAAGAAGAAAAUUAGUUGAUUCUAUUCUUGUCUAGUUCUCCAGUCGGCUAUAUUAAUGACUUGAUUUUAGUUAAAUUAGAUGGAAAAUACAGUUGAGUUAAACUAUGUAAUAAAUACCUCUAUAGGCAGAGCAACUAGUUGAAAGAAAGUUAGGACAAACUUGUCCUAGUAUUUGUUUACAAAAUAGGCUCAGGCAGCACACUGAUGUACUCAGGGUUCCCUUACCACAAGUAUAGACAAAACCCCAAACACUUAUUAAGUCUUACACAUAACAACAGAUGGAUGAGAGAGAGGGCAUCUUUAAGCAAAGGAUAAGGUAAACAAACAGCAAUUCAUACAAGUCAAUGAAUCAGUCACUUAAUUUCAGCACAGUUAAGAGCUGACCUAGCAGAAAAGAAUUCUGACAAGCUGAGCUUCAAGAACACCUGCAUAAGAACGCUGCUCACAAAUGAAAAUAAGAAAGAAGUCUGGGAAACUGCCAGCUCCUUGCAGAAAAGACUGAAAGAUGAUGGGCAGAGAAGGGUGUUGGUAAGACAAAAAUGAUUGAAGUUGCAUCAUCUGUAUGACUAAAUUCACUGUGUGAAUUUUGAUUUUCCCCCCCUACUUUCAGACAUUUGAGGAUGCAGUCAAGUCAAUGGAGUUCUGUUGUAGUGGUUGCUUCAGUGAACAUUCAACGCUGUCGGCCUUAACACCGAAGAUAGCAACCUAACCAUCACAUGAUGUUUCUCCCUCACCCUGCCAAGCUUUACAAAAAGGUCACAAUCAACAUUCAUUGCUGUCGGUGGGUUUAACUAUGUGGACAAGCUCACUGAACAAUGAAUGCAACUGUGGCCCCACAUUGUACAGUUGCUGUUGAGAGGAGCAGCAGCUCUGAAGGCAAUAGUGAGACGCAAACACUUUUUAUAAGCUACAGGUUUUUGGUCAGAAAAAUAGUUGGGGGUAUCCCACUUUUUGCUUGCUUGGUUUUCAGUGUGUUUAACUUAGCUGCCUAGAAGAGAAAGCCUGCUGCCUUUUUCUGGGGUGUUAUCCUCACAAGGUUCAUACCACUGAAAAUGUGCAAAUUCUUAUUUAGUAUGUACGCAGAAAAAACAACAGGACAGGAUGCUCUGUAUAUCUGCUCGUAAGAACUCUGACAUAAGAGGAAGGAAUAUUUAAUUGCCAUUUAACUAGGCAUUGCUGAAGAGUUCAAAAGUUUAUUCCAUACUUGUCAUGACAAAUACAGCUGGGAACAAAUGGGAUUUAAGACUUACAAAUAAAAAUGUUAAAUAAAAAAUAUUA
Molecule: long non-coding RNA, 2014 nt
Organism: Ficedula albicollis (Collared flycatcher)
Lineage: Eukaryota; Metazoa; Chordata; Aves; Passeriformes; Muscicapidae
Exons: 3
Source: RefSeq, a predicted model, not a curated record